RNAcentral lists this ribosomal RNA (796 nucleotides) under uncultured bacterium. RNAcentral describes it as "bacterial SSU rRNA". It matches the Rfam family "Bacterial small subunit ribosomal RNA", at positions 66 to 854 of the family's 1533-position model. The record is from RNAcentral.
ACGGUAACAGGGACUUCGGUCCGCUGACGAGUGGCGCACGGGUGAGUAACGCGUGGGUUACCUGCCCAUAAGUGGGGAACAACUUGGAGAAAUCCAAGCUAAUACCGCAUAAUACCUUCGGGUUAAAGAGGGGGAUCUUCGGACCUCUCGCUUAUGGAUGGUCCCGCGUCUGAUUAGCUAGUUGGUAGGGUAAUGGCCUACCAAGGCAAUGAUCAGUAGCUGGUCUGAGAGGAUGAUCAGUCACACUGGAACUGAGACACGGUCCAGACUCCUACGGGAGGCAGCAGUGGGGAAUUUUGCACAAUGGGCGAAAGCCUGAUGCAGCGACGCCGCGUGCGGGAAGAAGGCCUUCGGGUUGUAAACCGCUUUCAACAGGGAAGAAGGAAUGAGAGCUAAUACCUCUCUGCCUUGACGGUACCUGUAGAAGAAGCACCGGCUAAUUUCGUGCCGGCAGCCGCGGUAAUACGAAAGGUGCAAGCGUUGUUCGGAUUUACUGGGCGUAAAGAGAUCGUAGGUGGCUUGUUAAGUCGGAUGUGAAAUCCCGGGGCUCAACCCCCGGAACUGCAUCCGAUACUGGCAGGCUUGAGUUUGGGGAGGGGUAAGCGGAAUUCCGUGUUGUAGCAGUGAAAUGCGUAGAUAUACGGAGGAACACCUGGAGGCGAAAGCGGCUUACUGGACCAAUACUGACACUGAGGAUCGAAAGCGUGGGUAGCAAACAGGAUUAGAUACCCUGGUAGUCCACGCCUAACGAUGUCACUAGUCGUUGCGGGUUAUCGACCCCUGCAGUGCGCAGCUA